UACGGGGGGGGCAAGCGUUGUUCGGAAUUACUGGGCGUAAAGGGCUCGUAGGCGGCCAACUAAGUCAGACGUGAAAUCCCCAGGCUCAACCUGGGAACUGCGUCUGAUACUGGAUGGCUUGAAUCCGGGAGAGGGAUGCAGAAUUCCAGGUGUAGCGGUGAAAUGCGUAGAUAUCUGGAGGAAUACCGGUGGCGAAGGCGGCAUCCUGGACCGGCAUUGACACUGAGGAGCGAAAGCCAGGGGAGCAAACGGG
This 253-nucleotide ribosomal RNA is filed under the name uncultured bacterium. RNAcentral describes it as "partial 16S ribosomal RNA". It matches the Rfam family "Bacterial small subunit ribosomal RNA", at positions 524 to 776 of the family's 1533-position model. The record is from RNAcentral.